Molecule: transfer RNA, 73 nt
Filed under: Mustela putorius furo (domestic ferret)
Lineage: Eukaryota; Metazoa; Chordata; Mammalia; Carnivora; Mustelidae
Rfam family: tRNA
About the family: Transfer RNA (tRNA) molecules are approximately 80 nucleotides in length. Their secondary structure includes four short double-helical elements and three loops (D, anti-codon, and T loops). Further hydrogen bonds mediate the characteristic L-shaped molecular structure. tRNAs have two regions of fundamental functional importance: the anti-codon, which is responsible for specific mRNA codon recognition, and the 3' end, to which the tRNAs corresponding amino acid is attached (by aminoacyl-tRNA synthetases). tRNAs cope with the degeneracy of the genetic code in two manners: having more than one tRNA (with a specific anti-codon) for a particular amino acid; and 'wobble' base-pairing, i.e. permitting non-standard base-pairing at the 3rd anti-codon position.
Source: Rfam by way of RNAcentral
UCCUGACUGGCUCAGUUGACAGAACAUGUGACUCCCAAUCUCAGGGCCAUGAGUUCAAGCCCCAUGUUAGGCA